Molecule: unclassified non-coding RNA, 1000 nt
Filed under: uncultured cyanobacterium
Lineage: Bacteria; Bacillati; Cyanobacteriota
Description: bacterial SSU rRNA
Rfam family: Bacterial small subunit ribosomal RNA
Source: RNAcentral
GGCCCAGACUCCUACGGGAGGCAGCAGUGGGAAUUUUCCGCAAUGGGCGAAAGCCUGACGGAGCAAUACCGCGUGAGGGAGGAAGGCUCUUGGGUCGUAACCUCUUUUAUUAGGGAAGAAGAUCUGACGGUACCUAAUGAAUCAGCAUCGGCUAACUCCGUGCCAGCAGCCGCGGUAAUACGGAGGAUGCAAGCGUUAUCCGGAAUCAUUGGGCGUAAAGCGUCCGCAGGUGGCCAGAUAAGUCUGUUGUUAAAGCAUGGGGCUUAACCCCAUAUCGGCAAUGGAAACUGUUCGGCUAGAGUAUGGUAGGGGUCAGGGGAAUUCCCAGUGUAGCGGUGAAAUGCGUAGAUAUUGGGAAGAACACCGGUGGCGAAAGCGCCUGACUGGGCCAUAACUGACACUCAUGGACGAAAGCUAGGGGAGCGAAAGGGAUUAGAUACCCCUGUAGUCCUAGCCGUAAACGAUGGACACUAGGUGUUGCCCGUAUCGACCCGGGCGGUGCCGUAGCUAACGCGUUAAGUGUCCCGCCUGGGGAGUACGCACGCAAGUGUGAAACUCAAAGGAAUUGACGGGGGCCCGCACAAGCGGUGGAGUAUGUGGUUUAAUUCGAUGCAACGCGAAGAACCUUACCAGGAUUUGACAUCCCGCGAAUUCCCUUGGAAGGGGGAAGUGCCUUCGGGAGCGCGGAGACAGGUGGUGCAUGGCUGUCGUCAGCUCGUGUCGUGAGAUGUUGGGUUAAGUCCCGCAACGAGCGCAACCCACGUUUUUAGUUGCCAUCAUUUAGUUGGGCACUCUAGAGAGACUGCCGGUGACAAACCGGAGGAAGGUGUGGAUGACGUCAAGUCAGCAUGCCCCUUACGUUCUGGGCUACACACGUACUACAAUGCUUCGGACAGAGGGUCGCCAGGCCGCGAGGUCGAGCUAAUCCCGUAAACCGAGGCUCAGUUCAGAUUGCAGGCUGCAACUCGCCUGCAUGAAGGCGGAAUCGCUAGUAAUCGCC